Lactuca sativa (garden lettuce) is the source of this 532-nucleotide long non-coding RNA. RefSeq lists it as uncharacterized. The record is from RefSeq and is a predicted model, not a curated record. NCBI's taxonomy places the organism in Eukaryota, Viridiplantae, Streptophyta, Magnoliopsida, Asterales, Asteraceae.
GCAAUUUGGGGAAAGUUAGGGUUAUGUUUACAGAACUUGGAUCAGAGAAUGAGGCCGGCGAGAGGAAAAGUGAGGUUUCUGAGGGUGGUUGCCCUUCUUCCGACCGAUGAUUUCGUCUUGUUCCUACAAAUCAACAACCCUCAUCGGUUUUUUUUCAUAACAUCUUAUGUGGGAUAGCCAUAUGGUGGUGAGAUAGUUUCAGUUGGUCCUGCUAUAUGUUAUAGGCCAAGAUACCUGGUGCGGGCCAGCUAUAAGUUGUAGGUACGAAGAUUCGAGAAGAGCGGUUAGAUUAAGGCAUCAUGCCAACAAACCCUGGGUAUUCCAGUCCGAUGAUUGAUUGGACCUGUUGCAUGUUGACAUUCCAGUUCGAUGAUUGGGCCAAGGUUCUAUCCUUGGUCGUGGGAAGGCGAAUGCAUGAAUCUACACACUCAUCAACAUUAUUGAGGAUUACGCAUUUCUUAUAUGACUAUAAUUUUCGAUAAAUGUAUUUUGGAAUAAACGUUUUUUUUAAUAAUGAAUUUAUAAUUAGGGA